GCUCUUAAAGUUCAUCAUCUUCAACCUUUGAAGAACUCACGUGCAACAUCAACUUCAAAUGGCCAUAUCUCCUUCAAUCUUGAUCCGAUUAACGCGAUUCUUGUGGCUACGGAACGAGCGUGGAAUCCUCUAUUGAUUGAGCCCAGAAAUUUAAGGUAAUUGGGAGCUUGUAUGAAUGAUUGUAACAAUGAUUUUGGAAGAUUAACCUUCGGCUUUCAUCAACAAUCAAGACUCAAUGAAGGGAAUAUCGACGAGGCUGGGAGCAUACGGUUCAAUAACUCAUUAUGCUUAUUUGAAGUAUUUGAAGUAGCAAGCCGUGAGUUUAUAUGUGUUUACAUUUGAAGUAUUUAAAAUGCAUUUCUUUAUACGCAAUUGUGUCAUACGGAUUGUAUAGCAUAUUUAUGAAUGCAUACGUUGCUUUAAAAUAUAGCAUUAUUU
Molecule: long non-coding RNA, 438 nt
Organism: Mercurialis annua (annual mercury)
Lineage: Eukaryota; Viridiplantae; Streptophyta; Magnoliopsida; Malpighiales; Euphorbiaceae
Exons: 3
Source: RefSeq, a predicted model, not a curated record